AUGGAUUCAAGUGACUCAACAAUCAUUCUGGAUCUGUCCACAGAAGGGAGGAGCAGCCCAGAGUCGGCCAGUAAAACAAGUGAGUUAGAAGGAAAAAGGAAAGCACAAAACCUACUUGAAGAAGAACCCUCUACCCUGCCAAGUCCUAAUACAAACAAGCCUGCAGAUAUCAACAGUCCAGACACCCACUGUCCAGCAACCUUGGCCAAACACUACAAGACCCUACAAACUUUGU
Molecule: non-coding RNA, 235 nt
Organism: Maylandia zebra (zebra mbuna)
Lineage: Eukaryota; Metazoa; Chordata; Actinopteri; Cichliformes; Cichlidae
Source: RefSeq, a predicted model, not a curated record